This 335-nucleotide unclassified non-coding RNA is filed under the name soil metagenome. Its description in RNAcentral is "partial contains 5.8S ribosomal RNA, internal transcribed spacer 2, and large subunit ribosomal RNA". The stretch from base 1 to 120 matches the Rfam family "5.8S ribosomal RNA", at positions 35 to 154 of the family's 154-position model. The record is from RNAcentral.
GAUGAAGAACGCAGCGAAAUGCGAUAAGUAAUGUGAAUUGCAGAAUUCAGUAAAUCAUCGAAUCUUUGAACGCACAUUGCGCCCGCCAGUAUUCUGGCGGGCAUGCCUGUUCGAGCGUCAUUUCAACCAUCAAGCCCCCGGCUUGUGUUGGGGACCUGCGGCUGCCGCAGGCCCUGAAAACCAGUGGCGGGCUCGCUAGUCACUCCGAGCGUAGUAAUACAUCUCGCUCAGGGCGUGCUGCGGGUUCCGGCCGUUAAAAGCCUUAUUUUACCCAAGGUUGACCUCGGAUCAGGUAGGAAGACCCGCUGAACUUAAGCAUAUCAAUAAGCGGAGGA